This 329-nucleotide ribosomal RNA is filed under the name uncultured eukaryote. RNAcentral describes it as "partial 18S ribosomal RNA". It matches the Rfam family "Eukaryotic small subunit ribosomal RNA", at positions 1470 to 1796 of the family's 1831-position model. The record is from RNAcentral.
CCCUUAGAUGUCCUGGGCUGCACGCGCGCUACACUGACGAACUCAACGAGCUUAUCACCUUGGCAGAGAUGUCUGGGUAAUCUUUUGAAAGUUCGACGUGCUGGGGAUAGAUGAUUGUAAUUAUUCGUCUUGAACGAGGAAUUCCUAGUAAGUGUGAGUCAUCAGCUCGCGCUGAUUACGUCCCUGCCCUUUGUACACACCGCCCGUCGCUCCUACCGAUUGAAUGGUCCGGUGAGGUUCUCGGAUUUUUUCUGUUGUUUGGUUCGCUAAACGAUUGAAGAGAGAAGUUACCCAAACCUUACCAUUUAGAGGAAGGAGAAGUCGUAACA